AACGUAGGGGGCCAGCGUUGCUCGGAAUUACUGGGCGUAAAGGGUCUGUAGGCGGUGCGGCAAGUCGGAAGUGAAAUCUCAGGGCUUAACCCUGAGGCUGCUCCCGAAACUGCUGUGCUAGAGUGCGAGAGAGGCGAGUGGAAUUGCCGGUGUAGCGGUGAAAUGCGUAGAUAUCGGCAGGAACACCCGAGGCGAAAGCGGCUCGCUGGAUCGCAACUGACGCUGAGAGACGAAAGCUAGGGGAGCAAACAGG
This 253-nucleotide ribosomal RNA is filed under the name uncultured bacterium. Its description in RNAcentral is "partial 16S ribosomal RNA". It matches the Rfam family "Bacterial small subunit ribosomal RNA", at positions 524 to 776 of the family's 1533-position model. The record is from RNAcentral.